GUGGUGGAUGGGUGGGUGGUGGAUGGGGCUGGCUGACUGACGGGGGGAGGACACUGAGAUGAGAACUGAGAAUAGAAGGGAGGAUAAAUAUUUAAUGUGUUGAGCAGCUGGAGGGGAGCUGGUAUGGAGCGGAGGAAGAGAGGAGGAGAGGAAGAGAGGAGGAGAGGAAGAGAGGAGGAGACGAGGAGAUGAGGAGAGGAGAGGUGGAGAGGAGUGUAGCGUACUGCGUUGCUCAUGUGAAGCCGACCCUUCCCUUCAUAUUCAUCUCUCUUCUUCAGGGUUAUUCCCUCCGUCUAUAACGAUAUAUAUAUAUAUAUAUAUAUAUAUAUAUAUAUAGACCUCCACAGCUAAAGGUGGGUUGAUGGUAAAACAUAUUCUAUUUACUGUGUGAUUCUAUUGGAGAAAGGUAAUGGUACUAAAACAGAUGUGAUUAUGAACCAUUCUAGAUGACAGCACAAUAAUUUGUAACACACAAGUAAUUUAACACCCUUGCUUAGACAAUUACUACUGCCCUCUUCUGACUCCUCCCACUCUUCUGACUCCUCCCACUCUUCCGACUCCUCCCACUCAUCUGACUCCUCCCCCUCGUCUGACCCCUCCCCCUCUUCUGACUCCCCCCUCUCUUCUGACUCCUCCCACUCGUCUGACCCCUCCCACUCGUCUGACUCCUCCCUCUCUUCUGACUCCCCCCUCUCUUCCGACUCCCCCCUCUCUUCCGACUCCUCCCUCUCUUCCGACCUCUCCCUCUCUUCUGACUCCUCCCUCUCUUCUGACUCCUCCCUCUCUUCUGACUCCACCAUCUCUUCUGACCCCCCCUCUCUUCUGACUCCUCCCACUCUUCUGACUCCCCCUCUCUUCUGACUCCUCCCUCUCUUCUGACUCCCCCUGUCUUUUGACUCCCCCCUCUCUUCUGACUCCUCCCUCUCUUCUGACUCCUCGCUCUCUUCUGACUCCCCCCUCUCUUCUGACUCCCCCUCUCGUUUGACUCCUCCCUCUCUUCUGACUCCUCCCUCUCUUCUGACUCCCCCCUCUCUUCUGACUCCUCCCUCUCUUCUGACUCCCCCUCUCUUCUGACUCCCCCUCUCGUUUGACUCCUCCCUCUCUUCUGACUCCCCCUCUCUUCUGACUCCCCCUCUCUUCUGACACCCCCUUUUUCCACUCCCUUUAUAUACAAAUUGAGCACCAGUUUAUCUCUGACAUGGGUCACAUGACCACUCUUUGUACUCUUUCGUGUGUGUGUGUGUGUGUGUGUGUGUGUGUGUGUGUGUGUGUAUGUGUGUGUGCCAUCAAACCUCUGAAAGAGAACAUGGCAUUUUAUUGUAUUUUUUUAUUGCUGAAGGAUAUUUUGUAAUGUGACUUCAUAGGAGAGAGGGGACAUUUAAACUGAGGAUUCUGAAGACGAGGGAGUCUGUUGUAAAAUGCAGUUGUGUAAUGCUGAUUUCAGUGUAUCUGCAUUGUGACUCAGUGUUUGGGGAUAGGGACAGAUGAGUUUGAGGUUUACUGUGUAACCGUCCAGCCAGGAGAAUAGUGCCGUCCCUGUCGGGGAGGUGGUCACCUGGUCAAUGAAAACAUUGUUCUCUGAGUCCUAUUUUAAUCCUUUGAUCCCAUCUCUCCUUGCUACCAAGCCUUGUGUUUGACUGGACACACAGAUCAGUUAUAUAUUGAUCGAUAGGGAAAAGAGGAAAAUAAACUACUGUAACGAUUUUACUUUUUUUUUGGUUUCAACUUUGAAAAUGUAAAAUAGCUUUUCAACUUUCACAAUAUUUAAUUAAAGUUCCCUCUUGUCUGUGAA
RNAcentral lists this long non-coding RNA (1792 nucleotides) under Salmo salar (Atlantic salmon). RNAcentral's name for it is "lncRNA (ENSSSAG00000107774.1)". The record is from RNAcentral. Lineage: Eukaryota; Metazoa; Chordata; Actinopteri; Salmoniformes; Salmonidae.